AUAGGGUGGAGGCAGAAGUAGACACAAUUAAACAUGAAGGAUUGUGAAGGCAAAAGAUGAACCAGCCAGCUGUAGUCUCUGGAUGCAUAAGCUCCAAGUGUGGAGGAGACCCGGAGAGAAAAGCAGACUGUUCUCUCUGUUUACCUGUAAACACAGGCCGCAACCUACCAUGCUGUUUUUAAAUGCCCAAGGGCUGGUGACAAGAGGGUUUCCCUUUGCCAUCUGGACCUGACUGCCUUAGAGUGAAAGUCGACAUUGCAAACCACAGUGACAUGUGGAUAAAACUCACGAUGUUGGGGGAGAAGAGCAAAUCAUAUGCUUCACAAUAAAAACACUCAAUAUCCUAGGAAUAGAAGGGAACUUCCUCAACCAGAUAAAGGGUGUCUAUGAAAAACCCAGAGCUAACAUCACACUUAAUCGUGAAAGACUGAAAGCUUUCCCUCUAAAAUCAGAAACAAGAAAAGGAUGUCUACUACUGCCACUGCUAUUCAACAUUGUUCUGGAAAAUUCUGGGCACAACAAGUAGGCAAGAGAAAAGAAGAGGUAUCCAGAUUGGAAAGGAAGAAAUAAAACUGUCUCUGUUUGACAGUUGUCAUAAUCUUGUACAUAGAAGAUUAUGAAGAAGCUACCAAAAACUAUUUGAAUGACUAAACAAGUUUGGUAUGGUUGCAGGAUACAAGAUCAAUAAGCAAAAACCAGCCGUAGUUCUUCUAUAUGUUGAAAAGAAGAAAAUUUAUAAUGAAAUUAAGAAAAAUUCAUU
Molecule: long non-coding RNA, 760 nt
Filed under: Pongo abelii (Sumatran orangutan)
Lineage: Eukaryota; Metazoa; Chordata; Mammalia; Primates; Hominidae
Description: lincRNA
Source: RNAcentral